RNAcentral lists this unclassified non-coding RNA (428 nucleotides) under Hevea brasiliensis (rubber tree). The record is from RNAcentral. Lineage: Eukaryota; Viridiplantae; Streptophyta; Magnoliopsida; Malpighiales; Euphorbiaceae.
GUAGUGAGAAUUGAAGAUGAGAUUGAGACUGGUGUGACGACGGUGGUGGUGUUGGUGGAGAAGGUGGCCGAGGUAGUGGAGAAGGUGGCCGAGGAUGUGGCUGAUGGGUCUCCGGCUGGUGGGAAACUAAACAAGGCUGCUUUGGAGACGGAACAUGUUGCGGAGGUUGUAGUGAAGGAUGCUGAAGAGGCUAAAGUUAUCAUUAAGAAGAUUUAUGAGAUAAAGGAAGAGAUUGAAGAUUAUGUAAUGGUCGAGAUGUCCGAUCUCCUCGAUGAGGAAAGCCCAGCAAAGAAAAGCGCAAGCACAGCGAAAGAAAGCGCCGCCACUGGAGCUGCUUCAAGUGGCAAAAGUCCUUAGCGUCUUGAAACUGAAAAUGCCCUUGUUGUACAUAGGAAACCAUUAUCCAUCAGGUUAUUAAACAUUUUCUG